GACGAACGCUGGCGGCGUGCUUAACACAUGCAAGUCGAACGGAAAGGCCCCUUUGGGGGUACUCGAGUGGCGAACGGGUGAGUAACACGUGAGUAAUCUGCCCUUGACUUCGGGAUAACUUCAGGAAACUGGGGCUAAUACCGGAUAGGAAUCCUUGCUGCAUGGUGGGGGUUGGAAAGCUUCGGCGGUUUUGGAUGGACUCGCGGCUUAUCAGCUUGUUGGUGGGGUAGUGGCUUACCAAGGCUUUGACGGGUAGCCGGCCUGAGAGGGCGACCGGCCACAUUGGGACUGAGAUACGGCCCAGACUCCUACGGGAGGCAGCAGUGGGGAAUAUUGCACAAUGGGCGGAAGCCUGAUGCAGCAACGCCGCGUGCGGGAUGACGGCCUUCGGGUUGUAAACCGCGUUCAGCAGGGGCGAAGCUUGUGGUGACGGUACCUGCAGAAGAAGCACCGGCUAACUACGUG
RNAcentral lists this ribosomal RNA (465 nucleotides) under uncultured bacterium. RNAcentral's name for it is "partial 16S ribosomal RNA". It matches the Rfam family "Bacterial small subunit ribosomal RNA", at positions 28 to 507 of the family's 1533-position model. The record is from RNAcentral.